AAAUAGUGAAAUAUUGAAAAUCACAAUUAUUAUCAAGUUAUUGAGGAAAAAAUGAAGAAAAGUGAAAAAGUGAAAAGAAUUUGUUUAGAAGUUAGUGAAGACUCCAGCUUUAAAAUCUAACUCUAGAUGUCUAGACUCUGUUUUGGAGCCGCUGUAAUUCUUCAUUCAUUUUCAUGGGUUGAGUCCUUUGCUUCUCAUUAAAAUGCCUUCCUCUGUACAUUUCUAAAGCUCUCUCUCUCUCUCUCUCUCUCUCUUUCUUUCUCUCUCUUCCUCUGUGUGCGCAUUCUGGUUCAGCAUAUGUAUCUGUUAUUAAGACAUAUGGCUGCUUUAUUGCUGCUAACAAUACCAAUCAAUACUCAUGAAGCAUGCAGAAGCGUCACCUACCACAAAUCUCAGGACCUGAGCGGGAACUGACAGUGAUCAUCUUUCAAACACACUCUCACCAACAUCUACUACAGUGUCUCACAUCCACGAUAACUCUGUGCAAGCAGAGAGAGAGAGGAGCACUACCCAAACUCAACAGCAAGAUUCAUUGUUGUUGGAACAUUUUAUACUUAAUAAAGGAAAUGGUACAUGACUCAAGCUGUCUCCUUACAAAGAGAGAGAGAGAGAGACAGUGAGUGGAGCUGAUGAGGUGAGUCUAGCUCCCCCACACCACAGCAGUAAUCACAGCACUGAAGAAACACAUACAUCAUCUGACGGAACUACUGCUGGCAUUCUCUCUCUCUCUCUCACACACACACACACACACACACACACACACACACACACACACACACACACACACACACACACACACACACACACACACACACACACACACACCACAAACUUAUAAAUAACUAAAAACAACAUUACACAGACACACCAAGCUAAAUGGGGGCACAUCAUUACUAUAGACCAGCCUCAACACUAAACCUUAUUUAUUUAAAUUUUUAAAAAUAUUUAUUUUUAUAUAUAAAUGGUUUUUAUCUUUGAAGCCAGAUUACUAACUAAAUUCUGCAGAGAACAGCCCAGUUAUACCUAUACACCUAUUUUUUCUUAUUUUAUUUUACUUUAUUUUAUUGUUAAUCUGCCUUUGUGAGAAACUGAGUUUCCUCUGUCAUUUUCCUCUGGCAUCUGUCCCUGUUCAUUCUCCCUCUAUCCUUCGUUGUAUGCAUGUUAUAAAGAAUGUGUAGAGAUCACUGAAGCGAUUGGAGGUAAGUGUUGUCCCUGCAUUUGUCUUAAUUAAUCUUUAAUGAAACGGCCUCAUCCUACCCCCUCUCGCUCUCUCUCCCUCAUAAAUGAAAGAUGGAGCUGAGCAGUGCUGGUCUCAGUGCAUUAUUAAGGUUGAGCUGGUCA
Cyprinus carpio carpio is the source of this 1341-nucleotide long non-coding RNA. The record is from Ensembl. Lineage: Eukaryota; Metazoa; Chordata; Actinopteri; Cypriniformes; Cyprinidae.